GAUGAACGCUGGCGGCGUGCCUAAUACAUGCAAGUAGAACGCUGAAGGAAGGAGCUUGCUCUUUCCGGAUGAGUUGCGAACGGGUGAGUAACGCGUAGGUAACCUGCCUGGUAGCGGGGGAUAACUAUUGGAAACGAUAGCUAAUACCGCAUAACAGUAGAUGUUGAAUGAUAUCUACUUAAAAGGUGCAAUUGCACCACUACCAGAUGGACCUGCGUUGUAUUAGCUAGUUGGUGAGGUAACGGCUCACCAAGGCGACGAUACAUAGCCGACCUGCGAGGGUGCUCUGCCACACUGGGACUGGGACACGGCCCAGACUCCUACGGGAGGCAGCCGUAGGGAAUCUCCGGCAAUGGACGGAAGUCUGACCGAGCAACGCCGCGUGAGUGAAGAAGGUUUUCGGAUCGUGAAGCUCUGUUGUAAGAGAGGAACGAGUGUGAGUGUGGAAAGUUCACACUGUGACGGUAUCUUACCAAAAAGGGACGGCUAACUACGUG
This 497-nucleotide ribosomal RNA is filed under the name uncultured bacterium. Its description in RNAcentral is "partial 16S ribosomal RNA". It matches the Rfam family "Bacterial small subunit ribosomal RNA", at positions 28 to 507 of the family's 1533-position model. The record is from RNAcentral.